Molecule: ribosomal RNA, 305 nt
Filed under: uncultured bacterium
Lineage: Bacteria
Description: partial 16S ribosomal RNA
Rfam family: Bacterial small subunit ribosomal RNA
Source: RNAcentral
ACAGCAGCCGCCGCGGUAAUACGGAGGGUGCAAGCGUUAAUCGGAAUUACUGGGCGUAAAGCGCACGUAGGCGGCUUGGUAAGUUAGAGGCGAAAGCCCGGAGCUCAACUCCGGAAUUGCCUUUAAGACUGCCGAGCUAGUAGGUGAGAGAGGUAAGUGGAAUUCCGAGUGUAGAGGUGAAAUUCGUAGAUAUUCGGAAGAACACCAGUGGCGAAGGCGGCUUACUGGCUCAUUCUAGACGCUGAGGUGCGAAAGCGUGGGGAGCAAACAGGAUUAGAUGACCCCUGUAGUCCCUGUCUCUUAUU